GAUGAACGCUGGCGGCGUGCCUAAUACAUGCAAGUCGAGCGAACAGACGAGGAGCUUGCUCCUCUGACGUUAGCGGCGGACGGGUGAGUAACACGUGGAUAACCUACCUAUAAGACUGGGAUAACUUCGGGAAACCGGAGCUAAUACCGGAUAAUAUAUUGAACCGCAUGGUUCAAUGGUGAAAGACGGUUUUGCUGUCACUUAUAGAUGGAUCCGCGCCGCAUUAGCUAGUUGGUAAGGUAACGGCUUACCAAGGCAACGAUGCGUAGCCGACCUGAGAGAGGGAUGGACCAAGGUAGUGCUGAGACACGGGCAAGACAGGAGCGAGAGGCGGCGGAGGGGGAUGUUGCAGAAUGGUCGAAAGCUUGACAGAUUAACGAAGCGGGAGAGAAGAAGGAAGUAAGUACGUAAACCUGUCUUAAUAGUAAGGAACAAAGGGGUGAGGAACAAUGCGAGACUGGAAAGGACAUAAACAGAAAGCAAGGGCUAACUACAAG
This 497-nucleotide ribosomal RNA is filed under the name uncultured bacterium. RNAcentral describes it as "partial 16S ribosomal RNA". It matches the Rfam family "Bacterial small subunit ribosomal RNA", at positions 28 to 507 of the family's 1533-position model. The record is from RNAcentral.